AGUGAACGCUGGCGGUAGGCCUAACACAUGCAAGUCGAACGGCAGCACAGUAAGAGCUUGCUCUUACGGGUGGCGAGUGGCGGACGGGUGAGGAAUACAUCGGAAUCUACUUUUUCGUGGGGGAUAACGUAGGGAAACUUACGCUAAUACCGCAUACGACCUACGGGUGAAAGCAGGGGAUCUUCGGACCUUGCGCGAUUGAAUGAGCCGAUGUCGGAUUAGCUAGUUGGCGGGGUAAAGGCCCACCAAGGCGACGAUCCGUAGCUGGUCUGAGAGGAUGAUCAGCCACACUGGAACUGAGACACGGUCCAGACUCCUACGGGAGGCAGCAGUGGGGAAUAUUGGACAAUGGGCGCAAGCCUGAUCCAGCCAUACCGCGUGGGUGAAGAAGGCCUUCGGGUUGUAAAGCCCUUUUGUUGGGAAAGAAAAGCAGCAGGUUAAUACCCCGCUGUUCUGACGGUACCCAAAGAAUAAGCGCCGGCUAACCUCGUG
Molecule: ribosomal RNA, 492 nt
Filed under: uncultured bacterium
Lineage: Bacteria
Description: partial 16S ribosomal RNA
Rfam family: Bacterial small subunit ribosomal RNA
Source: RNAcentral